UACGUAGGCAGCGAGCGUUGUUCGGAGUUACUGGGCGUAAAGGGUGUGUAGGCGGUGUGUCGCGUCGGCCGUGAAAACCUGCAGCUUAACUGUGGGCGUGCGGUCGAUACGGGCAUCACUGGAGUUCGGCAGGGGAGACUGGAAUUCCUGGUGUAGCGGUGAAAUGCGCAGAUAUCAGGAGGAACACCGGUGGCGAAGGCGGGUCUCUGGGCCGAUACUGACGCUGAGGAGCGAAAGCGUGGGGAGCGAACAGG
This 254-nucleotide ribosomal RNA is filed under the name uncultured bacterium. RNAcentral's name for it is "partial 16S ribosomal RNA". It matches the Rfam family "Bacterial small subunit ribosomal RNA", at positions 524 to 776 of the family's 1533-position model. The record is from RNAcentral.